RNAcentral lists this ribosomal RNA (492 nucleotides) under uncultured bacterium. RNAcentral's name for it is "partial 16S ribosomal RNA". It matches the Rfam family "Bacterial small subunit ribosomal RNA", at positions 36 to 507 of the family's 1533-position model. The record is from RNAcentral.
CUUUCCCUCUUUCUUUCGGCCUAACACAUGCAAGUCGAACGGCAGCACAGUAAGAGCUUGCUCUUACGGGUGGCGAGUGGCGGACGGGUGAGGAAUACAUCGGAAUCUACUUUUUCGUGGGGGAUAACGUAGGGAAACUUACGCUAAUACCGCAUACGACCUACGGGUGAAAGCAGGGGAUCUUCGGACCUUGCGCGAUUGAAUGAGCCGAUGUCGGAUUAGCUAGUUGGCGGGGUAAAGGCCCACCAAGGCGACGAUCCGUAGCUGGUCUGAGAGGAUGAUCAGCCACACUGGAACUGAGGCACGGUCCAGACUCUUACGGGAGGCAGCAGUGGGGAAUAUUGGACAAUGGGCGAAAGCCUGAUCUAGCCAUACCGCGUGGGUGCAGAAGGCCUUCGGGUUGUAAAGUCCUUUUGUUGGGAAAGAAAAGCAGCAGGUUAAUACCCCGCUGUUCUGACGGUACCCAAAGAAUAAGCACCGGCUAACUUCGUG